GUUGUAUGGUUAAGUGACUAAGCGUACAUGGUGGAUGCCUUGGCAGUCAGAGGCGAUGAAGGACGUACUAACCUGCGAUAAGCUGUGAGAAGUCGGUAAGAGACGCUAUUACUCACAGAUUUCCGAAUGGGGAAACCCACCCGAGAUAACUCGGGUAUCUGUUACUGAAUACAUAGGUAACAGAGGCGAACCGGGAGAACUGAAACAUCUAAGUACCCCGAGGAAAAGAAAUCAACCGAGAUUCCCUCAGUAGCGGCGAGCGAACGGGGAUUAGCCCUUAAGCAUCUUGGAAGUUAGUGGAACGGUCCUGGAAAGGCCGGCGAUACAGGGUGAUAGCCCCGUACACGAAAACAACCUUGAUGUGAAAUCGAGUAGGGCGGGACACGUGACAUCCUGUCUGAAUAUGGGGGGACCAUCCUCCAAGGCUAAAUACUCCUGACUGACCGAUAGUGAACCAGUACCGUGAGGGAAAGGCGAAAAGAACCCCUGUGAGGGGAGUGAAAUAGAACCUGAAACCGUGUACGUACAAGCAGUGGGAGCCCUUCGGGGUGACUGCGUACCUUUUGUAUAAUGGGUCAGCGACUUACAUUUUGUAGCGAGGUUAACCGUAUAGGGGAGCCGUAGGGAAACCGAGUCUUAACUGGGCGUCUAGUUGCAAGGUGUAGACCCGAAACCGGGUGAUCUAGCCAUGGGCAGGUUGAAGGUUGAGUAACAUCAACUGGAGGACCGAACCCACUAACGUUGCAAAGUUAGGGGAUGACCUGUGGCUGGGGGUGAAAGGCCAAUCAAACUCGGAGAUAGCUGGUUCUCCCCGAAAGCUAUUUAGGUAGCGCCUCGGACGAAUACUACUGGGGGUAGAGCACUGUUUGGGCUAGGGGGUCAUCCCGACUUACCAACCCCAUGCAAACUCCGAAUACCAGUAAGUAAUAUCCGGGAGACACACGGCGGGUGCUAACGUCCGUCGUGAAGAGGGAAACAACCCAGACCGCCGGCUAAGGUCCCAAAGUUCUGGUUAAGUGGGAAACGAUGUGGGAAGGCUCAGACAGCUAGGAUGUUGGCUUAGAAGCAGCCAUCAUUUAAAGAAAGCGUAAUAGCUCACUAGUCGAGUCGGCCUGCGCGGAAGAUGUAACGGGGCUCAAACCAGGCACCGAAGCCGCGGAUUCACACUUAUGUGUGAGUGGUAGGGGAGCGUUCUGUAAGUCUGCGAAGGUGUAUCGAGAGGUAUGCUGGAGAUAUCAGAAGUGCGAAUGCUGACGUAAGUAACGAUAAAGGGGGUGAAAAGCCUCCUCGCCGGAAGACCAAGGGUUCCUGUCCAACGUUAAUCGGGGCAGGGUGAGUCGACCCCUAAGGCGAGGCCGAAAGGCGUAGUCGAUGGGAAGCAGGUUAAUAUUCCUGCACGACUUGUAAUUGCGAUGGGGGGACGGAGAAGGCUAGGUGGGCCAGGCGACGGUUGUCCUGGUGAAAGUGCGUAGGUGGUGUUUGUAGGCAAAUCCGCAGACACAACACUGAGACACGAGACGAACACACUACGGUGUGGAAGCCAUUGAUGCCCUGCUUCCAGGAAAAGCCUCUAAGCUUCAGAUUACAAGUCAUCGUACCCCAAACCGACACAGGUGGUCGGGUAGAGAAUACCAAGGCGCUUGAGAGAACUCGGGUGAAGGAACUAGGCAAAAUAGAACCGUAACUUCGGGAGAAGGUUCGCUCUUGAUGGUGAAGUCCCUUGCGGAUGGAGCUGUCGGGAGUCGCAGUGACCAGAUGGCUGGGACUGUUUAUCAAAAACACAGCACUCUGCAAACACGAAAGUGGACGUAUAGGGUGUGACACCUGCCCGGUGCCGGAAGGUUAAUUGAUGGGGUUAGCGCAAGCGAAGCUCUUGAUCGAAGCCCCGGUAAACGGCGGCCGUAACUAUAACGGUCCUAAGGUAGCGAAAUUCCUUGUCGGGUAAGUUCCGACCUGCACGAAUGGUGUAACCAUGGCCAUGCUGUCUCCACCCGAGACUCAGUGAAAUCGAAUUCGCCGUGAAGAUGCGGUGUACCCGCGGCUAGACGGAAAGACCCCGUGAACCUUUACUACAGCUUGGCACUGAACAUUGAACCUACAUGUGUAGGAUAGGUGGGAGGCUUUGAAGGCGUGACGCCAGUUGCGCUGGAGCCGUCCUUGAAAUACCACCCUUGUAUGUUUGAUGUUCUAACGCAGGGCCCUGAAUCGGGCUCGCGGACAGUGCCUGGUGGGUAGUUUGACUGGGGCGGUCUCCUCCCAAAGAGUAACGGAGGAGCACGAAGGUUGGCUAAUCCUGGUCGGACAUCAGGAGGUUAGUGCAAUGGCAUAAGCCAGCUUAACUGCGAGACGGACAGGUCGAGCAGGUACGAAAGUAGGUCAUAGUGAUCCGGUGGUUCUGAAUGGAAGGGCCAUCGCUCAACGGAUAAAAGGUACUCCGGGGAUAACAGGCUGAUACCGCCCAAGAGUUCAUAUCGACGGCGGUGUUUGGCACCUCGAUGUCGGCUCAUCACAUCCUGGGGCUGAAGUCGGUCCCAAGGGUAUGGCUGUUCGCCAUUUAAAGUGGUACGCGAGCUGGGUUCAGAACGUCGUGAGACAGUUCGGUCCCUAUCUGCCGUGGGCGUUGGAUGAUUGAAGGGAGUUGCUCCUAGUACGAGAGGACCGGAGUGAACGAACCUCUGGUGUUCGGGUUGUCACGCCAGUGGCACUGCCCGGUAGCUAAGUUCGGAAUCGAUAACCGCUGAAAGCAUCUAAGCGGGAAGCGAGCCCUGAGAUGAGUCAUCCCUGACCCCUUGAGGGUCCUAAAGGGCCGUUGGAGACCACAACGUUGAUAGGCGGGGUGUGUAAGUGCAGCGAUGCAUUGAGCUAACCCGUACUAAUUACCCGUGAGGCUUAACCAUACAACACCCAAGAAGUGUUCUG
This 2919-nucleotide ribosomal RNA is filed under the name Aeromonas veronii. Its description in RNAcentral is "bacterial LSU rRNA". It matches the Rfam family "Bacterial large subunit ribosomal RNA". Lineage: Bacteria; Pseudomonadati; Pseudomonadota; Gammaproteobacteria; Aeromonadales; Aeromonadaceae. The record is from RNAcentral.